This 440-nucleotide ribosomal RNA is filed under the name uncultured bacterium. RNAcentral's name for it is "partial 16S ribosomal RNA". It matches the Rfam family "Bacterial small subunit ribosomal RNA", at positions 338 to 795 of the family's 1533-position model. The record is from RNAcentral.
CCUACGGGAGGCAGCAGUAGGGAAUAUUGCUCAAUGGGGGAAACCCUGAAGCAGCAACGCCGCGUGGAGGAUGAAGGUUUUCGGAUUGUAAACUCCUUUUGUUAGAGAAGAUAAUGACUGUAUCUAACGAAUAAGCACCGGCUAACGCCGUGCCAGCAGCCGCGGUAAUAAUGAGGGUGCAAGCGUUACUCGGAAUCAAUGGGGGUAAAGAGGGCGUAGGCGGGAUAGCAAGGCAAAUGUGAAAUCCUAUGGGUUAACCAUAGAACUGCAUUUGAAACUGUUGUUCUAGAGUGUGGGAGAGGUAGGUGGAAUGCUUGGUGUAGGGGUAAAAUCCGUAGAGAUCAAGAGGAAUACUGAUUGCGAAGGCGGCAUGCUAGAACAUAACUGACGCUGAUGCGCGAAAGCGUGGGGAGCGAACAGGAUUAGAUACCCGAGUAGUC